GGACUACAGGGGUAUCUAAUCCCGUUCGCUCCCCUGGCUUUCGCACCUGAGCGUCAGAAACGAGCCAGGACACUGCCUUCGCCUUUGGUGUUCUUCCGGAUCUCUACGCAUGUCACUGCUCCACCCGGAGUUCCAUGUCCCUCUCUCGCUCUCCAGUCCACCAGUUUUCGAAGUCGUUCACCGGUUAAGCCGGUGAGUGUCACUCCGAACUUGGCGAACCGCCUGCGUGCGCUUUACGCCCAAUAAUUCCGGACAACGCUCGCCCCCUACGUCUUACCGCGGCUGCUGGCAC
This 292-nucleotide ribosomal RNA is filed under the name uncultured bacterium. RNAcentral describes it as "partial 16S ribosomal RNA". The record is from RNAcentral.